UGGCGGACGGGUGAGUAACACGUGAGCAACCUGCCUUUCAGAGGGGGAUAACGGCUGGAAACGGUCGCUAAUACCGCAUGACGUGUUCGGAUGGCAUCAUCUGAACAUCAAAGAUUUAUCGCUGAAAGAUGGGCUCGCGUCUGAUUAGAUAGUUGGUGGGGUAACGGCCUACCAAGUCUACGAUCAGUAGCCGGACUGAGAGGUUGAACGGCCACAUUGGGACUGAGAUACGGCCCAGACUCCUACGGGAGGCAGCAGUGGGGAAUAUUGCACAAUGGGGGAAACCCUGAUGCAGCAACGCCGCGUGAAGGAUGACGGUUUUCGGAUUGUAAACUUCUUUUCUUAGUGACGAAGACAGUGACGGUAGCUAAGGAAUAAGCAUCGGCUAACUACGUGCCAGCAGCCGCGGUAACACGUAGGAUGCAAGCGUUAUCCGGAUUUACUGGGUGUAAAGGGAGCGCAGGCGGGACUGCAAGUUGGAUGUGAAAUACCGUGGCUUAACCACGGAACUGCAUCCAAAACUGUAGUUCUUGAGUGAAGUAGAGGCAAGCGGAAUUCCGAGUGUAGCGGUGAAAUGCGUAGAUAUUCGGAGGAACACCAGUGGCGAA
Molecule: ribosomal RNA, 608 nt
Filed under: uncultured bacterium
Lineage: Bacteria
Description: bacterial SSU rRNA
Rfam family: Bacterial small subunit ribosomal RNA
Source: RNAcentral